GACGAUAAUUUUCCGCCGCGAUCGGUGUUUCGUUCACGAUUUCAGUCACAAGAGUGUUGCGACCACUAAUAUCCACCACCACCACCACCACCACCACUACUGAGCAUCACCACUACUCCAAUCACCACCACCACCCUCACUGUAUUAAUAUCACCACCACCACCACCACUUUCACUACAUUGAUAUCACCACCACUUUCGCCACACUGAUAUCACCACUGCCACCUUCGAAACACUAAAUCCACUAGCACUGACAGCACAGUCACAGCGAGCAACACUAAUAAAGACUACCACUAAUAUCAAAAGCGCUACUACUACAACUGUCACCACUGCAAUCACCCUCACCACCAUCACUACUGCUGCUGCUCCAACUGCAACUAGCUUGCUGCUGCUACUGCUACUGUAGCUGCUGCUGUUGCUCUACUGCUGUUUCCACCGUCCCCACCAGAGAUGUGUAGCCGGUAGCUGUGACAGAUAUUAUUAGUCAGGUACAACAACACAGGAAGAUAACUCACCACCACCGAUCUUUAAGACAGUCUUCCCUCCAAUAGUGGUCAAGCACGUCACCCCCCACCUCUAUUUGACCGUUGCACUAAUUAAGCCGUUUUUCACCCCCACCACCAGAGCACCAUGGCUUAUAGUUUUGUAGAUAGCUUUUGGGUGAACAAUAUUGAAGAGUACAUAAGUACCACUGGGUUUGACAUUGUCUGGAAGCGAAUGAAAGGUAGCCAAAAGUUGGGCAAAGACAUAGAAGAAUAUCUGAAAUCAUUAGCCAAAAUAGAAAAUGAAUACAGCAAAAGUCUGAAUAGACUAAACAAAGGCUCCGAAGUAGGGGACGAUUUGGGGGUUAUGGGUCAAUCUUGGAUUAAGCUGAAAUAUGAAUUUGAUCAAGUUGCCUCUACACAUGAAGAAUUAAGCGCUAUGCUUUCUUCUCAAGUUGAGAAAAUUAAGACAAUGAAUGAUAAUCAGGAUGAAAAGAAGCGAAAAUGUAAAGAGGCAGUAAGAAAGUGUCACUCACACAAUUCAUCCUUAUACAACCGGACUUUAAAUGCUGAAAAAGUUUAUAAACAGAAAUUCCUUGAAAAUAUUCAGUGUAAAAAGCAGUAUGAGUCUACAAAAUCUUUUGCGGUUUCUACUAAAGAUACAGAAAAGUUAUUCAACAAACACAUCAAAGCUGUUCAGGGUAAAGAAAAUGCUGAUGCUCUCUACAAGAACCUCGUUGACCAGCUGGAGGAGAGCCAUAAAGCUUUUGAAUGGGAGAUACACCAAGCCCUUAUUGAAUUUCAAAAAUUAGAAGAAGAACGAAUUGAUACGCAACGUAAUCUUUUGUGGGUUGUGUUGAAUGCAAGAUCUCAAGUUUCAGUUGAAGAAGAUAAGUGUUAUGAAAAUGUUCGUAAAAUAUUGGAACAGUGUGAUAUUCAGCGAGAUAUAAUAGACUUCAUUUCUAAUCAUCAGACAGGAAGUACACGGCCUGCUUAUUUAAAAUACCACAAUCUUGAAGAAACAAGGAAGGAAAUACAAGUUUCACAUGCUCAAGAGUCCCUUUCAGAUGGAGAUUAUUGUUCAAUUCAGUUCCCAAGCUCUAAAAAAUUCAACUUGGAUUUUGUUCACUCAAACUGACGCCCAUUCACCAUUAACAUGUAUACACGCUUGAAUGAACAAGAUGGCAUUGAGAGACAAUGAUCCAUAAUGGGAUGUGAAUGUUCACCAGACCAUUAAAUGGAAGUUUGCGGUCAUGUAAUAGCAGUGGAUGCUUGAGAAUUCUUUAUGUGAUAUACUGAUAUAUUUGUCCAUGAAGAUAGCUUGCAUUUUGUCAAGUCUUCUAUUUUUAACUUGAAUACUUUUUAAACUUUGAAAUCAGGAUUAACUUUUGUGAAGUGUGCAAUGAGAAUCAUUUUUACCAUUCCCAUCAUUUGUGAAGCAUCAGAUCAAUGUUGCCAUCGUUAGACAGGAUGAACCUAUCAUUAUACCAUUAUUUCAUUUAUAGAUCCUUACUUAAUAUCCUAGAAAUCAGAAAAUAUAUUGUUACCAAACAUGACUCAUCAGUGACAAUCUAUUAAAAUAAUUACCUCUUGGGUUUAAUUUUUUAAUUUUUAUUAUUAUUUUAUUUUUUUUUGCAUCUAAUUCCUUUUUUUUGUUUGAGGGUUUUUAAUAAUUUUGCAAUGUUGGGAAAUUUUGUUUUGUUUUCAUAUUUGUUUUGCAUUUAAUUCAAUCUUUCCGUUGUAAAUAAAAACGUAAUUACUGUUGUAUCAGGGUUAAUACAAUUAAUCCUACCGUGUUUAUAUUUUCACAGAUUCUGUAGGAAAUAAUCUUCAUGAAUAACGUCAACUUCUUCAGUUAAUAUAUAUUAGAAUAUUUGUUGUGCAUAUUGACAUAAAAACAGAACAAAACCUAGUGAUCUAAAUAUUUCUUCACAUUUAUUAUUGCCGAUUCAGCUGAACAAAACAAACAUCACUAUCCAUUAGCGUGAGAAGGCAAUCAUUUCUCUCUAUUUUAAAAUGCUUCCAUUAACUCUUUUAUAACACUAACUCGACUGAAUGUUAUUCUCUACUGAUUAAAAAGACAUCUAAGAACAAUUUUGAAAAAAAAAAAAAAUCUUUUAGCCAGUAAUUAAGUUGUUUAUAACUAGCGUGAUGUGGUAGAACACCAAUAUCAAACAGUAUGCUAUCCUUGUUUUGAGGUAUGGAAGGAGUGGGGAAGGAGACAUGGAGUGGUGGGGGGAGUACAUUGUCAUGUAUAAAUAGUAUGAAGAUUGGUUGCUGUUUUUUUUUUGUUGUCUUUUUCCUGUUCCUGUAGAUUGUAGUUACUGCAGUCAACAGUAUCAUAUUAUAGUGGUAGUUAGUUAUGUUAGGUAAAAAAAGGAGGUGAAGGAAUGUUUUUUUUUUGUUUAUUGUUAUUAAUUCCAUUUGUGUAUAAAUUAAUUCUGUUCUGAACCACUUUGGGAAUCAAAGUCCUGGAUUUCUUACAUUUCUCUUGGUUUGCUUUUGUCUUGAAAAGAAAGCUUUCAUGCUUGUUAUACUGGAGUAAGACAACAUCGUUUGAAGGAUCAUUUUCAUUAGCAUGUAUUUCAAAUUUGGACUGUUGUUGCUGGCAACUCAUCCUGAACAAAAGAACUCUGGCACUAGUUUCUAUUAGUUGUGGGUGAAGGGGACAAACUACUGUAAUUUCCCCUGUUCGUCUUCAUUGCUGAUAAAAGUUGCUCUGCCUUCAGAAACUCAACAACAUUUGUGGAGUCCUUAACAGUUGGAGAACAAAUAGUUUGUCUUCUUUCUGGUAGGAAUGAGUCAGAUUCUUUGCUGGUUUGUGUCUGUAGCAGAAGACAUCAUAAAUCAUAGACAUUCCCAAACAUAUCCAGUCACUCCUAGUCCUCGAAAUGGAAAGUGUUUAUUUUUAACAAAAUACUGAAGUUAUUAGACCGUCCUAUUAACACUUUCAUAUUAAUGUCCAUAUAUAAAAAUGCUGGAAUUCAUUAUAAUAAUUCAGAAUGUUGGCAUGACCCAGGCAAGUCCUAGUCUAUUGUUUGAAAAUAUAUUCAAAAGAGAAAAACAAAAACCAAAAAAAAAAAAAACCAAAAAAAAAAAAAACUAAAAAUAUACAAAAA
Molecule: RNA transcript, 3600 nt
Organism: Octopus bimaculoides (California two-spot octopus)
Lineage: Eukaryota; Metazoa; Mollusca; Cephalopoda; Octopoda; Octopodidae
Gene name: proline-serine-threonine phosphatase-interacting protein 2
Source: RefSeq, a predicted model, not a curated record